RNAcentral lists this long non-coding RNA (340 nucleotides) under Lathyrus oleraceus (garden pea). Its description in RNAcentral is "Pisum sativum (pea) long non-coding RNA (PSAT_LNC004120)". Lineage: Eukaryota; Viridiplantae; Streptophyta; Magnoliopsida; Fabales; Fabaceae. The record is from RNAcentral.
GAUUUGUUCUUGGAUUCUUCAAUAAAACAGUAAAUUAAAUCAAGGAAAUAAAACUGGAAUAUAACGUAAGGUUAAAUCCGGUAUAAAGUUGCACAAUAGUUUCCGGUGUAGAAACUAUUAUGCGAAAAAUAUCUAAAAGCUAAAAUGGAAAGGUAAAUUUGCAAGGAAAAAGAAUGUAAAGCUUGCAAAAGAAAUAAAUAAAAUAAACAACGCUGGAAAGAAAAAAUAAGCAAAAGCGUGAAAAGAAAAUUUGGCAGAGCUUCGGCAAUAUGAGCGUGGAAAAACCGAGAGACCUUUAGGUUUUUGAGAUGGCUAUUUAUAAUAGUGUUGGCAACUGCUU